ACCAAUUUCGCGGUUUCAGUUGACUGGCUACUCUGACCUAGAGUAACCCGUCAAUGAAUUUACAAACAAAAUACGCGUGGCUCUGUUGGAAUGAGGUUAAUCCGGUUAAUUGCAAGGACGGACAUAUCAGGAGAUAAUGCAGCUCAUCACCCAGGUCAUUCGAGGGGCAGAGCGGGCACCUUCUUUCGUUGUGUGGCACAUGACUUUGCGACCAUCUUCCAACCUCAAUAGGGAACCUAUGAUUGCCAGUUCGGAAAUGGAAUAAUGAUAAGCGCUGGGAACAUGAAUACAGCGAGUUGUUUUAGAUGUACUAGGCAACAGGAAACAUUUAUCACACAGGAACACUAUCCCCGGCUGCUCCUAGCACGAGGAUACGUCUGGGGAGAUUGGACAGCCAGUUGAGUGCGGGGUACCAGAAUUACCUGCGGAGCCAGUGGUCUCAGGCCCCGUAGCGCUAGACAUUUCCGGUUUCUGUGGCUCUGGGAGAUGCUCCUGCAACGGGGCAUGAACUGCCGUUAGAUAACCGGGUGCGGAACUUGAAAUGUCGGGAUUCUUGAUUUCCUCAGUUGCUUUUGGGGAGUUAUGGUUGACAA
Molecule: long non-coding RNA, 593 nt
Organism: Mercenaria mercenaria
Lineage: Eukaryota; Metazoa; Mollusca; Bivalvia; Venerida; Veneridae
Exons: 3
Source: RefSeq, a predicted model, not a curated record